UUCAGAGAGAAGGGUUGGAUGUUUUGUCUACUCAUCUCUUCUUCAAGGUCAAGCAAUAGUAGCAGUGUUUGGUGGCAGUGGAAGAAACAACAGUAGUGAUCCUUUGUCAUUGUGGUCAGGGAGGCUCUGUCUUCUUCCUUUUACUAAGGCCCUCAGAAUAAAGAGCCAAGAUGACAAUGUUCCAGUGAAGCGAAACAAAUAGGAAAAUGAACUUUGUGAACUGAUCCCAAUAAAAAGACAAAGUUCGGAGACCACACCGCAACUGCAUAUUCCAGCCUUGGACGUGUAUCAUACUUGUGAUGAUUUUUUUUAAUUGUAUCUUUGUCCAUAAACUGAAAUACCACUCUUACAUUACUCAACAUUUUAUGAUAGUCCAAAUAUCUUGCUUAUGUGUUUUUUGGAGUUCAGAUUUUCCUGUAUGAUAACUCCCACAUCUUUUUUCCUCUUUAGUUUUCAUUAUUUGUUCCAUCAAAUAGUUCCAAACCAGUCUUCUCUUGCUCUUUCUUAGUUCCAUUAUGUGACAUUUCUUGGUAUUGAACUCUAAUUUUCACUUCUUACUCCACUCACAUAAAUAUAUCUUCCUGUAACAGCAGACAGUCCUCCUUGGUUUUGAUAACCCUUAGCUUUUGCACAUCCGUUAACAAAUAAAUUAAUAUAACUGUUUACCCCAUUGUGAAUGUCAUUUACAUAAAUCUGA
Portunus trituberculatus (swimming crab) is the source of this 697-nucleotide long non-coding RNA. RefSeq lists it as uncharacterized. NCBI's taxonomy places the organism in Eukaryota, Metazoa, Arthropoda, Malacostraca, Decapoda, Portunidae. The transcript is spliced from 3 exons. The record is from RefSeq and is a predicted model, not a curated record.